RNAcentral lists this ribosomal RNA (366 nucleotides) under uncultured organism. RNAcentral describes it as "bacterial LSU rRNA". It matches the Rfam family "Bacterial large subunit ribosomal RNA", at positions 2099 to 2465 of the family's 2925-position model. The record is from RNAcentral.
CUUUACUGCAACUUGACGUUGGAACUUGGCUGUAUUUGUGUAGGAUAGGUGGGAGACUUUGAAGCAGGGCCGCCAGGUCUUGCGGAGUCGUCGUUGAAAUACCACCCUGGUGCUGACGAGUUUCUAACCGUGUCCGUAAGCCGGACAUGAGACAGCGUCUGGUGGGCAGUUUGACUGGGGCGGUCGCCUCCUAAAAGGUAACGGAGGCAUUCAAAGGUCCCCUCAGCGUGGUCGGUAAUCACGCGCAGAGUGCAAACGCAUAAGGGGGCUUAACUGCGAGACCGACAGGUCGAGCAGGUGCGAAAGUAGGAGUUAGUGAUCCCGCGGUUUAGCGUGGAAUUGCCGUUGCUCAAUGGAUAAAAGGUA